UACGGGAGAAAGCAGGGGACCUUCGGGCCUUGCGCUAUCAGAUGGGCCUAGGUCGGAUUAGCUAGUUAGUGAGGUAAUGGCUCACCAAGGCGACGAUCCGUAACUGGUCUGAGAGGAUGAUCAGUCACACUGGAACUGAGACACGGUCCAGACUCCUACGGGAGGCAGCAGUGGGGAAUAUUGGACAAUGGGCGAAAGCCUGAUCCAGCCAUGCCGCGUGUGUGAAGAAGGUCUUCGGAUUGUAAAGCACUUUAAGUUGGGAGGAAGGGCAGUAAGUUAAUACCUUGCUGUUUUGACGUUACCGACAGAAUAAGCACCGGCU
This 322-nucleotide ribosomal RNA is filed under the name uncultured bacterium. RNAcentral describes it as "bacterial SSU rRNA". It matches the Rfam family "Bacterial small subunit ribosomal RNA", at positions 195 to 498 of the family's 1533-position model. The record is from RNAcentral.